UCGGGACGUAAACCCAUCUUUAUCCCCUGAUUUAUGCAAAGAAAGUGCUCUUAUCGGUUCCCCCACUUGCGCCGCAACCCCUCACCUUUCCUCUGAUUCGAAUCGAGCUCGGUAGAUAUUGUAUUAUACAACCCCUCACCUUAAACCAAAACGGGUAAACACACUUUGGUCCAACAUCAUGCUUUCAUCAUCAUCAGUUUGCCGCUGCUGCUUGGGUCAUUUUAAUUUUGGGUUUUUAGUUGCAAGUUUAAUUUUGGGUUGUUGGUGAUGAAAGUGUGAUGUUGGACCAAAGCAAUAACGACACUAUAUACCAGUGACCCGAAGCCAUUAUUAGUGGCAGGGUUUAUGACUUCCAAUGGUUGGGUAGGUUUAGGGGUGAGCAUCAUCAAAGAGCCGACCUGAACCGACUACUACCCUACUCGAUACCCGCUUUAACAUAAAAUUUGAACCUGAUCCUUAUACCUACUUACUUUAUCGGGUCUCGGUUCCACGUGUUCUCGGUUCUCUCAGUUCCCAUUCAUAACUCGUACUCGACAUUUCCUUAUUCACAGUCUAUGAACAAUUUACUCUAACAUCAAUAGGGUCGUCCAUUUCAAGGAGACACAUGUGGAAUUAAGCUUCAAUUUCAGUAGUACGUAUGCAGAUUCAUCCAAUUUCAAUCUAUAAUCAAUAUUUCACACUUUAAAUUGGGUGGAUGAUAUCAUAACUUUGAAGUAUAAGAGCAUAUACCUCAUCAAGGAGCGUUGAGCAGCCAUCAAAUGAAUAAUGAAGAACAGAACAAGCAGCCAAGAAAUCAAAUGAAUAUUCAAUGAUUCUGGGGAGUUGUAAGUCAAAAGGAAUUUGAAAUAAUGAAGCAGAGACAGUGUUAGCAGAAAUCGCACCUAGACGGAGAUUAAAUGGUCAUCGGAGGUCUGCCCCUGGAUUUUGGCAAAUCGGUCAAACUAGGCGGUAGUGGUCAAAAUCGGUCAAAAUCAGAGAAAAUUAGUAAAAAAUCGGACCUAAUCGGUCAAAAUUGGACUGAAUCGAUCUAAUGGAAUGAGUUCUUACCUCGUUUGGAACUAAAUUGGAAACAAAAUUGGGGCUGCGGCUUCUUUCUUGUGCGCCGUGUAAUGAAACAGAUGGUGUAAUUAAAGAGAUGGUGGGUUAGGUUUUAAUUAAGUUUGGGUAUUUUAA
This is a long non-coding RNA of Helianthus annuus (common sunflower), 1173 nucleotides long. RefSeq lists it as uncharacterized. Lineage: Eukaryota; Viridiplantae; Streptophyta; Magnoliopsida; Asterales; Asteraceae. The record is from RefSeq and is a predicted model, not a curated record. The transcript has 2 exons.